UACGGAGGAUGCAAGCGUUAUCCGGAUUUAUUGGGUUUAAAGGGUGCGUAGGCGGAUAUGUAAGUCAGCGGUGAAACUCACAGGCUCAACCUGUGCCGUGCCGUUGAAACUGUGUAUCUGGAAUGCGGAUGCUGUGGGAGGAAUGUGUAGUGUAGCGGUGAAAUGCAUAGAUAUUACACAGAACACCGGUUGCGAAGGCAUCUCACAAAGCCGUUAUUGACGCUGAGGCACGAAAGUGUGGGGAUCAAACAGGA
Molecule: ribosomal RNA, 254 nt
Filed under: uncultured prokaryote
Description: partial 16S ribosomal RNA
Rfam family: Bacterial small subunit ribosomal RNA
Source: RNAcentral